This 221-nucleotide unclassified non-coding RNA is filed under the name Glomeraceae sp. RNAcentral describes it as "partial contains 5.8S ribosomal RNA and internal transcribed spacer 2". The stretch from base 1 to 71 matches the Rfam family "5.8S ribosomal RNA", at positions 84 to 154 of the family's 154-position model. Lineage: Eukaryota; Fungi; Glomeromycota; Glomeromycetes; Glomerales; Glomeraceae. The record is from RNAcentral.
GUGAAUCAUCAAAUUUUUGAACGCAAAUUGCGCUUUCUGGCAUUCCGGAGAGUAUGCCUGUUUGAGGGUCAGUUUUAAUAAAAAUUGGGGUGUUGCUGUUUUGUGACCCAUCGGAAUUGGGUUAUUUUUGAACUUUUAAAAAGUUUAGGUGACCUAAAAUUGAUACGUUGUGCAUCUAAGACGUACAUUAGAAUAUUUUUUUAUCCGCCCGGAGUUGCUAA